GACGAACGCUGGCGGCGUGCCUAAUACAUGCAAGUAGAACGCACAGUUUAUACCGUAGCUUGCUACACCAUAGACUGUGAGUUGCGAACGGGUGAGUAACGCGUAGGUAACCUGCCUGGUAGCGGGGGAUAACUAUUGGAAACGAUAGCUAAUACCGCAUAAUAUUGAUUAUUGCAUGAUAAUUGAUUGAAAGAUGCUAUUGCAUCACUACCAGAUGGACCUGCGUUGUAUAAGCUAGUAGGUGAGGUAACGGCUCACCUAGGCGACGAUACAUAGCCGACCUGAGAGGGUGGUCGGCCACACUGGGACUGAGACACGGCCCAGACUCCUACGGGGGGCAGCAGUAGGGAAUCUUCGGCAAUGGACGAAAGUCUGACCGAGCAACGCCGCGUGAGUGAAGAAGGUUUUCGGAUCGUAAAGCUCUGUUGUAAGAGAAGAACGGGUGUGAGAGUGGAAAGUUCACACUGUGACGGUAUCUUACCAGAAAGGGACGGCUAACUACGUG
Molecule: ribosomal RNA, 505 nt
Filed under: uncultured bacterium
Lineage: Bacteria
Description: partial 16S ribosomal RNA
Rfam family: Bacterial small subunit ribosomal RNA
Source: RNAcentral